This 424-nucleotide ribosomal RNA is filed under the name Verrucomicrobiota bacterium. RNAcentral describes it as "Verrucomicrobia bacterium partial 16S ribosomal RNA". It matches the Rfam family "Bacterial small subunit ribosomal RNA", at positions 355 to 776 of the family's 1533-position model. Lineage: Bacteria; Pseudomonadati; Verrucomicrobiota. The record is from RNAcentral.
UGAGGAAUAUUGGUCAAUGGACGAGAGUCUGAACCAGCCAAGUAGCGUGCAGGAUGACGGCCCUAUGGGUUGUAAACUGCUUUUGUUUGGGAAUAAUCGACAUUACGUGUAAUGUUUUGCAUGUACCAUUCGAAUAAGGUCCGGCUAAUUCCGUGCCUGCAGCCGCGGUAAUACGGAAGGUCCAGGCGUUAUCCGGAUUUAUUGGGUUUAAAGGGAGUGUAGGCGGUUGGUUAAGCGAGUUGUGAAAUGUAGAUGCUCAACAUCUGACUUGCAGCGCGAACUGGCUGACUUGAGUACACACAACGUAGGCGGAAUUCAUGGUGUAGCGGUGAAAUGCUUAGAUAUCAUGAAGAACUCCGAAUGCGAAGGCAGCUUACGUGAGUGUUACUAAAGAUUAAGCUCGAAGGUGCAGGUAUCGAACAGG